RNAcentral lists this ribosomal RNA (253 nucleotides) under uncultured bacterium. RNAcentral's name for it is "partial 16S ribosomal RNA". It matches the Rfam family "Bacterial small subunit ribosomal RNA", at positions 524 to 776 of the family's 1533-position model. The record is from RNAcentral.
UACGGGGGGUGCAAGCGUUAAUCGGAAUCACUGGGCGUAAAGGGUGCGUAGGCGGUGCAUUAGGUCUGUCGUGAAAUCCCCGGGCUCAACCUGGGAAUGGCGGUGGAAACCGGUGUACUAGAGUAUGGGAGAGGGUGGUGGAAUUCCAGGUGUAGCGGUGAAAUGCGUAGAGAUCUGGAGGAACAUCAGUGGCGAAGGUGGCCACCGGGCCCAAUACUGACUCUGAGGCACGAAAGCGUGGGGAGCAAACAGG